Molecule: ribosomal RNA, 425 nt
Filed under: uncultured bacterium
Lineage: Bacteria
Description: bacterial SSU rRNA
Rfam family: Bacterial small subunit ribosomal RNA
Source: RNAcentral
GUAGGGAAUCUUGCGCAAUGGGCGAAAGCCUGACGCAGCCAUGCCGCGUGAAUGAUGAAGGUCUUCGGAUCGUAAACUUCUAUCCUUGGUGAAGAUAAUGACGGUAGCCGAGAAGGAAGCCCCGGCUAACUACGUGCCAGCAGCCGCGGUAAUACGUAGGGGGCAAGCGUUGUCCGGAAUGAUUGGGCGUAAAGGGCGCGUAGGCGGCCUGGUAAGUCUGGAGUGAAAGUCCUGCUUUUAAGGUGGGAAUUGCUUUGGAUACUGUCGGGCUUGAGUGCAGGAGAGGUAAGUGGAAUUCCCGGUGUAGCGGUGAAAUGCGUAGAGAUCGGGAGGAACACCAGUGGCGAAGGCGACUUACUGGACUGUAACUGACGCUGAGGCGCGAAAGUGUGGGGAGCAAACAGGAUUAGAAACCCCGGUAGUCC